Molecule: long non-coding RNA, 1363 nt
Organism: Cygnus olor (mute swan)
Lineage: Eukaryota; Metazoa; Chordata; Aves; Anseriformes; Anatidae
Exons: 2
Source: RefSeq, a predicted model, not a curated record
CAGGGCCGCCGCCUCGGCCCGGGCGGGCGCCUGCCCUCGGGGCUGCGGGGCGCCGCCUGCCCUCGGGACCGCGGUGUGUCUCUCCGACAGGCUUUCUGUUUUCCCCGCAGGAGUCCGUCUAACCCGAAAGCGUUUCCGCGGCUUGUGGAACAGCGGAGGGCUUUGAGAAGCGCGGCGUGUCAGGCGGGAGCCGUGUCUGGAAAGCUGCUGGAGGGGGCUGUAAUCCCCGCGGCGGCGGGGCCUGGCGGAGCGUAGGAACGCAAAGAACAGAGAGAGACAUCCCGUGCAAAAGCCUGAGUGACACAUCGGGCUGUGAAACAGCUUGGGCAGAGGCGUGAGCAGAACAGUGCGUAAGCAACACAUCCCCCAGCGAGAUCAGGAAUAUUCAAACCAACAUCAACUUCAGAACAGAGGAGCUGAGUCUGAUUAUCAGAACACACAAGAUAGUUUUGAACAAAUGCUUACCAACCUAACAAUAUGUUUCCAGUUCCACAUACAAUAUGGUCAGUUCCUAGAGUUUUAUGUCAUUUUUAAAAUAUUCUCAGGAGUGUUUUCAUGCCCAAUGUUAAUUUACACCAGUGUUCUUCAUACCAGUUUCUAUCAUUACGUGUAUCAGCAAGACCCUCCUGCUGUUUUGAAGCUACACUAAGGAUAUUAAAAAGGGCAAACAAUCCCACGGUGAUUCAGAAGAUGAUCUCCCCAGUAAGGUGGAACACCCACUGUGCCCUGUUUUAAUUGCUAGCACAUUCAGCAGAUAAACAAACUUAAUGAUUUCACAGGCAUUUCACUGGUCACGGUGAUGUGUUGCAAAGGGCUCAGAUUAAACAUGGAAAAUGUAACUUUGUUGAAGGUGAGGCUAAUAACUAGUUAUUAAAAAAAUGCCUACUGUAUAACACAGUGGUAAUCAAAAUCAGUGGGACAAAUAAAAGUGUUUUGAUAUUUUGUCUAGUAUAGCUCUUUUCAUAGAUUCAUAAAAUCACAGAAUGGUUUCGGUUGGAAGGGACCUUAAAGAUCAUCUAAUUCCAACCCCCUGGUAUGGGCAGGGACACCUCCCACUGGAUCGGGUUGCCCAAAGCCCCACCCAGCCUGGCCUUGAGCACUUCUAGGGAUGGGGCAUCCACAGCUUCUCUCAGCAACCUGUUCCAGUGAGGAACAUCACUUAUAUUUUUAGAUCUUUUAGAUGCUUGAAAAUACAGAGUGUUAAUUUCAAGUGUGAUUAAAUAAAAACUAAUAUGUGGUGGUAGUUUCCAUUCUGGAAAGGGAACUCUAUGACUUGAAUUCAUAGUGAAGACAGUUACCCCUGACCAUGAUCUCUAACAUGCUCCUAUCACUCCUGUUCCUCUGGAAAUAUCCCAUGGAAUUG